Molecule: ribosomal RNA, 1483 nt
Filed under: uncultured fungus
Lineage: Eukaryota; Fungi
Description: eukaryotic LSU rRNA
Rfam family: Eukaryotic large subunit ribosomal RNA (bases 850-1483)
Source: RNAcentral
AAGUCGUAACAAGGUUUCCGUAGGUGAACCUGCGGAAGGAUCAUUAAAAAUAUCAGUAUUUGGCGCUUUAAGCCAACGUGAUGCCAAGUGCGUUCCUCGCUCUAGAAAGACGCUCGAAUGUUGUGGCCGGUGCAGCUGCUUUCAAGAACCUUAUGUUACUUUGGAAGUUGGCGCGGACCCAGGAUGGCUGUCCACGAGGGGUGUCAGUACCAAGCUCGUAAGUUGAGCCGAUCACUGAUUAUGCGGUUGCUCGUUCACCGAACGUGCAAUUGUACAUAUUCUGGUGAGUUCGUGCAAUUGAUCGUUUGGAACCCUCGUGCCACCCUGUAACACUGUGAUCCUCCCCUGCUAACGGGGACACCGGUUGUUUCAUUCCGAGUCGAAGCUAGACGUCAAACGUCACACAUGGAACACGUCAUCUCAAACCAUUGUGAACUUCCUGUUGCUUCGGCGGCAUGCUUCAUGCUGUCAGUCCGUCCGAGGCUCACCGCAAACCAAUUUCUGUAAACUUCUGUCAGUAUACGAAAAGUAAAUCGUUAAAACUUUCAACAACGGAUCUCUUGGUUCUCGCAUCGAUGAAGAACGCAGCGAAACGCGAUAGGUAAUGUGAAUUGCAGAAUUCAGUGAAUCAUCGAAUCUUUGAACGCACAUUGCGCCUCCUGGUAUUCCGGGGGGCAUGUCUGUUUGAGCGUCAGUACCCACUCUGUCGAAACUUUUUCGUCAGGUCUUGAGGGACGCGUGUCCUUUCAAUGUAGACGCUUGCGAACCCGACACCGAUCCAUGACGUAGUAAUUAAAAUUUCGUCCUGUCAAAGUCGACGGCCCGCCUGAACAUCAAACCUUUGCAGUUUGACCUCAGAUCAGACAAGGAUACCCGCUGAACUUAAGCAUAUCAAUAAGCGGAGGAAAAGAAACCAGCAGGGAUUGCCUCAGUAACGGCGAGUGAAGCGGCAAGAGCUCAAAUUUGAAAUCUGAUACCUUCGGUGUCCGAGUUGUAAUUUGAAGAGGAGUCUUCGGUUUGGGUCGUGGCCUAUGUUCCUUGGAACAGGACGUCGUAGAGGGUGAGAAUCCCGUACACGGCUGACGAUCUCUCGCCAUGUGAAGUUCCUUCGAAGAGUCGAGUUGUUUGGGAAUGCAGCUCUAAAUGGGUGGUAAAUUUCAUCUAAAGCUAAAUACCGGCGAGAGACCGAUAGCGCACAAGUAGAGUGAUCGAAAGAUGAAAAGCACUUUGAAAAGAGAGUUAAACAGUACGUGAAAUUGUUGAAAGGGAAGCGCUUGCAAUCAGACUUGCCUUUGGUCGAUCAACGUUCCUUCUGGUUCGUGCACUCGGCCUUCGGCAGGCCAGCAUCGGUUCGGACGGUGGGAUAAAGGCCUUGGGAAUGUGGCUCUCUUCGGGGAGUGUUAUAGCCCGAGGUGCAAUGCCGCCUGCCCGGAUCGAGGACCGCGCUUCGGCUAGGAUGCUGGCGUAAUGGUUGUAAGCGACC